UAGAGUAAUGCGUGACCAACCUGCCCCAUGCUCCAGAAUAGCUCUUGGAAACGGGUGGUAAUGCUGGAUGCUCCAACUUGACGCAUGUCUUGUUGGGAAAGUGUUUAGUGGCAUGGGAUGGGGUCGCGUCCUAUCAGCUUGUAGGCGGGGUAAUGGCCCACCUAGGCUUCGACGGGUAGCCGGCCUGAGAGGGCGGACGGCCACAUUGGGACUGAGAUACGGCCCAGACUCCUACGGGAGGCAGCAGUG
This 249-nucleotide ribosomal RNA is filed under the name uncultured Gardnerella sp. RNAcentral describes it as "partial 16S ribosomal RNA". It matches the Rfam family "Bacterial small subunit ribosomal RNA", at positions 107 to 356 of the family's 1533-position model. The record is from RNAcentral. Lineage: Bacteria; Bacillati; Actinomycetota; Actinomycetes; Bifidobacteriales; Bifidobacteriaceae.